Molecule: ribosomal RNA, 253 nt
Filed under: uncultured bacterium
Lineage: Bacteria
Description: partial 16S ribosomal RNA
Rfam family: Bacterial small subunit ribosomal RNA
Source: RNAcentral
CACGUAGGGUGCGAGCGUUGUCCGGAAUCAUUGGGCGUAAAGAGCGUGUAGGCGGUUCGGUAAGUCGGCUGUGAAAGUCCAGGGCUCAACCCUGGGAUGCCGGUCGAUACUGCCGGACUAGAGUUCGGAAGAGGCGAGUGGAAUUCCCGGUGUAGCGGUGAAAUGCGCAGAUAUCGGGAGGAACACCUAUGGCGAAGGCAGCUCGCUGGGACGUUACUGACGCUGAGACGCGAAAGCGUGGGGAGCAAACAGG